This 253-nucleotide ribosomal RNA is filed under the name uncultured bacterium. Its description in RNAcentral is "partial 16S ribosomal RNA". It matches the Rfam family "Bacterial small subunit ribosomal RNA", at positions 524 to 776 of the family's 1533-position model. The record is from RNAcentral.
GACAGAGGUUGCAAACGUUGUUCGGAAUUACUGGGCAUAAAGCGCACGUAGGCGGUUCGUUAAGUCAUGUGUGAAAUCCCUCGGCUCAACCGAGGAAUUGCGCCUGAUACUGGCGGGCUAGAGAUCGAUAGGGGUGAGUGGAACUCCAGGUGGAGCGGUGAAAUGCGUAGAUAUCUGGAGGAACACCGGUGGCGAAGGCGGGUCUCUGGGCCGAUACUGACGCUGAGGAGUGAAAGCGUGGGGAGCGAACAGG